UACGGAGGGUGCUAGCGUUGUUCGGAAUUACUGGGCGUAAAGCGUACGUAGGCGGUUUGACAAGUUGGAAGUGAAAGCCCAAGGCUUAACCUUGGAACUGCUUUCAAAACUGUCAGACUAGAGAAUGGUAGGGGAAAGUGGAAUUCCUAGUGUAGAGGUGAAAUUCGUAGAUAUUAGGAGGAACACCAGAGGCGAAAGCGGCUUUCUGGACCAUUUCUGACGCUAAGGUACGAAAGCGUGGGGAGCAAACAGG
This 253-nucleotide ribosomal RNA is filed under the name uncultured bacterium. Its description in RNAcentral is "partial 16S ribosomal RNA". It matches the Rfam family "Bacterial small subunit ribosomal RNA", at positions 524 to 776 of the family's 1533-position model. The record is from RNAcentral.